Molecule: transfer RNA, 67 nt
Filed under: Marmota monax (woodchuck)
Lineage: Eukaryota; Metazoa; Chordata; Mammalia; Rodentia; Sciuridae
Description: tRNA.Ala
Source: RNAcentral
GGUAGUGGCUUAGUGGUAGAGUACUCGCCUAGCAUGCAUGAAACACUGGGUUCAAUCCUCAGCAUUA